CAGUCGCCGCGGUAAUACGUGGGGUGCGAGCGUUAAUCGGAAUUACUGGGCGUAAAGCGUGCGCAGGCGGUUCGUUAAGACAGAUGUGAAAUCCCCGGGCUUAACCUGGGAACUGCAUUUGUGACUGGCGGGCUAGAGUAUGGCAGAGGGGGGUAGAAUUCCACGUGUAGCAGUGAAAUGCGUAGAGAUGUGGGAGAAUACCGAUGGCGAAGGCAGCCCCCUGGGCCAAUACUGACGCCCAUGCACGAAAGCGUGGGGAGCAGACAGGAUUAGAUACCCCGGUAGUCCCUGUCUCUUAUAC
Molecule: ribosomal RNA, 301 nt
Filed under: uncultured bacterium
Lineage: Bacteria
Description: partial 16S ribosomal RNA
Rfam family: Bacterial small subunit ribosomal RNA
Source: RNAcentral